Notolabrus celidotus (New Zealand spotty) is the source of this 1614-nucleotide long non-coding RNA. RefSeq lists it as uncharacterized. NCBI's taxonomy places the organism in Eukaryota, Metazoa, Chordata, Actinopteri, Labriformes, Labridae. The record is from RefSeq and is a predicted model, not a curated record. The transcript is spliced from 9 exons.
GUGGGUUUGUUAGUAGGUUUGAGUCAGAGUGAGUAUUGAGAGAAGCGAUUGGUGUUAGUGAGUGGGACAGAAAGAGUGAUAGCACAUAGUGCAUGACUGAGUGAUUGACUGUCUUUGUGAUUGAAAGUUUGAGAGGAGUUGAAGAUUGUUUGUGUGUUUUUGGAAGUGGUUGUAAUUGUGUAGGUUUUGUUUUCUUUGUCAUUAGUGUUGUGAUUUGUGUAUUUGUCCUUGUUUUUUUGUCUUUGUACGUGUGUCUUUGUGUAAGACAGCUGAGUAUAGGGGUGAAGGAGUAGGGUGAGAUACCAAAGUUGCAGACAGAUGAGGACAAAGGGACAGGUAGCAGAAACAUGGAAAAUAAGUUGGCACAAGAGGUGCUUGACUUUCUGCCCCACAGUCAAUAUCCUGAAGGUUUAACAAGCAAACAGUGCUAUGUUAUCAAGAGAAGAGCUGACAGCUUCAGGAUUAAGGGAGCAGACAGAAUAAGAGUGAGCACCUUGCAAAGGUUGUGCUUACUGCAGAGGAUGCCAACUCUCUGUUUGAGGAGUUCCACAUGAGUGAAAUUGGUGGACACUGUGGAGUGGAAAAGACACAUGCUGCUAUAAUUAGCAGGUACUACUGGCCUGGCAUGGAGGAGGACAUUCGCAAGUUGCAGCGUCUAUUACAAUUCAGAUUAUGCAAAUUAGGUGAUGACAUCAUUCAGCGACUUCUAGCGACUUUUAGGACAGCCAAUAGCUACUUUCCUCACUGAAGAGUUGGCAACGCUGUGCUAGUUGCCGAGGAGGAGUCCUUAUUAAUCUGCCACUGCGCAGCCAGGAUGUCUAAAAAAAGAAAAGUGGACAUAAGAGACUUCUUUAGAAGUCAAAGUGUCACAGAGCCUCUUCAGCUGGUGGGGAUGGACCUGAUGGGUAAACUUACUCUAACAGAAGGUGGUAAUCAUGUGUCAUGGUUGAUUGUUUCACCAAAUGGGCAGAGGCCUACCCACUCAAAAGUAAAAAAGCAGAUGAGGUCACAAAUUGUAUUAUUUAUUUCUUUUACAAUUUGGUUCACCCAAAAGACUGUUAACAGACCAGGGCUGAGUUUCGCAACAAGGUACAAUCAUGAAUAAUUCUGAGUCUUUUGUGUGUUACUUCUGUUAUGCUGACUUUUCUACUUUACCCAACUAUAAUUUCAAGAUCAACCUCAGAUUGUGUGACAGGCUCGGGAUUAAGAGGAGCCUCUGUGCUCCUCAUCAUCCUCAAACUAAUGGCCUUGUGGAGAGACUAAAUGGCACAGUACAGAGAUGUGGGAAAACUACCUGCAAGCAACAAUGUUCAUGUGGCGUCUUCAUGUGCAAGCUUGCAGAACAGAUACUUCAAAAAGUAUGUGUGGACUACCCAGUUGAUGAAAAGGGGUGGAAAUAUUUAGAAUCAACAUAGUGACAACCUUGCUGAGUGACACAGAUGACUUGUCUCAACUGUGUCCGGCCUGUGGGGAGGAGUGCUCAGGGGCUGAAAUGGACCAGGGGAUUAAGUGCACCAGCUGCCUUAUGUGGUACCACACAGUCUGCAUGAGCAACCCCUCAGUGGAAGGGGACUAUUUUUUGCAAAUCAUGCUUGUCCUAAUCAUUAAAACUUC